RNAcentral lists this long non-coding RNA (381 nucleotides) under Cicer arietinum (chickpea). RNAcentral's name for it is "long non-coding RNA (CARI_LNC003203)". The record is from RNAcentral. Lineage: Eukaryota; Viridiplantae; Streptophyta; Magnoliopsida; Fabales; Fabaceae.
GACUGCGUAAAAUCCAGCUAGAAACUGGUGGCGAUCUUCUUGGGUGAGAGGCCUCAUCAAGAAGGAGCUUGACUUGAUUUUGUGUGAGUCUGCCGAGUGACUGCAAGGAUCAAGGGGUUAAGCAAUAGGAAAGAGAUUGUGUUAGAUAGAUAGGUUUCGAGGAAACUGGACAAUCUGUAAACAAGUCACAAUUCUUUCUAUUGGAGAAAAAGCUGAAAUCCAGUUGGAUUGUCAGGACUGGAUGUAGGUUGUCAUUGACAACUGAACCAGGAUAAACCUUAGUGCAUUCUAUCCCUUAUCCUUUUACUCUUAAUUGUUAAUCUUGUAUGCCGCAUUAUAAUUCCGCUGUGUGUAUGAAUCUGAAUAAAUCUUGCAUCNNNN